AUUGAACGCUGGCGGCAGGCCUAACACAUGCAAGUCGAACGAGUGGCGGACGGGUGAGUAAUGUCUGGGAAACUGCCUGAUGGAGGGGGAUAACUACUGGAAACGGUAGCUAAUACCGCAUACCAUCAGAUGUGCCCAGAUGGGAUGAGCUGGCUGGUGGGGUAACGGCUCACCAAGGCGACGAUCCCUAGCUGGUCUGAGAGGAUGACCGGCCACACGGGGACUGAGACACGGUCCAGACUCCUACGGGAGGCAGCAGUGGGGAAUAUUGGACAAUGGGCGCAAGCCUGAUGCAGCAAUGCCGCGUGUAUGAAGAAGGCCUUCGGGUUGUAAAAUACUUUCAGCGGGGAGGCGUUACCCGAAGAGAAAGCACCGGCUAACUCCGUGCCAGCAGCCGCGGUAAUUC
RNAcentral lists this ribosomal RNA (406 nucleotides) under uncultured bacterium. Its description in RNAcentral is "partial 16S ribosomal RNA". It matches the Rfam family "Bacterial small subunit ribosomal RNA", at positions 30 to 526 of the family's 1533-position model. The record is from RNAcentral.